CUAUAUAAUAUUGAUGUUAUUUAUACACAGGGAGACGAUGAAAUUUGAAACAAACGUCAAACUGGCUAUGUCUACAUGUUGAGCGCCUCCCUACCCGUUCUGUUCUUCGUGGGGCCUAUGCUUCCUGCAAGCUACGACGACGUCUGGAUAAUUGCUUCAUUUGCAUGUAUCUAGGGAGUCUUGCGGAAUGUUUGGCACGAGAUUCGAGAGGAGCUUUAGUCGACAUUUCAGCCGCAUACUAUAUGCCACAUUUUUUGCACUUGUGAUUUACAGUAUAUAUCUUCUCGUCAUGCGUCUAACUAUGUCUUUGGUGCUCCUCUACCAUCGCUGUCACUAGCUCCUGCAAAUCAUGACAGAUUAUUCUGGAGGAUAGUGUUCUUCCUCAUCGGCGUGGUGUGGUUUUUUCUGAGCAUUUCGCUUUGUGGGCAAUGUGUUGCAAGUCUGAUGCUGAUCAAGAUUUGGAUGCUUAGAAAACGGAACAGAUUUUAUCAGUGGUUCGGGGACGUUGUUGGUCUUGUGAUGAUUGGGAUCAUUUUAUUCACCCUAGUUCCAUAUGUCAACAACUUACAAUGGGUGUUGUGCACCGUUUUCUGUAUAUACUCUAUUACUCUUCGCUCUUGUGUCAUACCUAUUAUGACUUGUUGUAUGAUAAAUAAUAUUAAC
Oryza brachyantha (malo sina) is the source of this 663-nucleotide long non-coding RNA. RefSeq lists it as uncharacterized. Lineage: Eukaryota; Viridiplantae; Streptophyta; Magnoliopsida; Poales; Poaceae. The record is from RefSeq and is a predicted model, not a curated record. The transcript is spliced from 3 exons.